This 450-nucleotide ribosomal RNA is filed under the name uncultured bacterium. RNAcentral's name for it is "partial 16S ribosomal RNA". It matches the Rfam family "Bacterial small subunit ribosomal RNA", at positions 354 to 796 of the family's 1533-position model. The record is from RNAcentral.
GUGAGGAAUUUUCCGCAAUGGGCGAAAGCCUGACGGAGCAAUGCCGCGUGCAGGAAGAAGGCCUUCGGGUUGUAAACUGCUUUUGUACGGAACGAAACGGUCCUGGUUAAUACCUGGGGCUAAUGACGGUACCGUAAGAAUAAGCACCGGCUAACUACGUGCCAGCAGCCGCGGUAAUACGUAGGGUGCGAGCGUUAAUCGGAAUUACUGGGCGUAAAGCGUGCGCAGGCGGUGCUGUAAGACAGGCGUGAAAUCCCCGGGCUCAACCUGGGAAUUGCGCUUGGGACUGCAGUGCUGGAGUACGGCAGAGGGGGAUGGAAUUCCGCGUGUAGCAGUGAAAUGCGUAGAUAUGCGGAGGAACACCGAUGGCGAAGGCAGUCCCCUGGGCCUGUACUGACGCUCAUGCACGAAAGCGUGGGGAGCAAACAGGAUUAGAUACCCUAGUAGUCC